Long non-coding RNA from Mesocricetus auratus (golden hamster), 573 nucleotides. RefSeq lists it as uncharacterized. The transcript has 2 exons. The record is from RefSeq and is a predicted model, not a curated record. NCBI's taxonomy places the organism in Eukaryota, Metazoa, Chordata, Mammalia, Rodentia, Cricetidae.
CCUGCAGCACCCAUCUAUCAGCAGGCUCUGGGCAGCAACACGGCUUUUCUUCUCUCCGCCAAGGUGGAAAAGAGCCAUCCAGAUGCCUCUGACAGAGUGAUUGCUGCCACCCCUGACAACCUGAGCUCAGUCCUUACUCAGAACACACACAGUGGAAAGAGAAGCUACUCCUGCAAAUUGGCCUCUAACCUCCAUAUAUGAGCCAUGGCAUAUGCUUCCCUUUAUACCCCAAAACAAAAACAAACAAACAAACAAACAAAUAAUGAAUUAAUAAAUAAAUGACUUUUAAUGGAGAUUAAACCACCUUUCCUAAGGUCUGUGACGUUGAAUUCUCCUCUGAGGACAGAUGAAGUGAUCUGAAAUUGUCGCAAGUGUGGCCAUGAGCAGCAGUGAAUUGUGGGUUUAAACCCUGACUCUUCAUCUUGUUGGCUGUGAAACCUUGGGACUAUUACUUAUUUUUUUGGGGGGACUAUUACUUAUAAUCUCCAAGCCCUACUCUUCUUAUCUGUAAUGCAUGACUGGUAAUAAUGGCACCAUGGGUUUUUAUUUAUUUUAUUACAUUUUAUUCAUUUA